AGUGCAGGAUUGUGUGUAUUGGCUUGACGCUGUGAAAUGAUGUGCGUUUCUUGCCGAAAGUGUUUCCUGCGAAACAAAUUUGAGGAAAGUGGGCAGUUGGGUUAAGCUUGAUAUUUGCUUUUUCCAACAAUCAUUUUCCUCUCAUUG
This 147-nucleotide small nucleolar RNA is filed under the name Leersia perrieri. RNAcentral describes it as "snoRNA snoR135". It matches the Rfam family "small nucleolar RNA snoR135". Lineage: Eukaryota; Viridiplantae; Streptophyta; Magnoliopsida; Poales; Poaceae. The record is from Rfam by way of RNAcentral.